RNAcentral lists this ribosomal RNA (473 nucleotides) under uncultured Rhizophagus. Its description in RNAcentral is "eukaryotic LSU rRNA". It matches the Rfam family "Eukaryotic large subunit ribosomal RNA", at positions 288 to 630 of the family's 3401-position model. Lineage: Eukaryota; Fungi; Glomeromycota; Glomeromycetes; Glomerales; Glomeraceae. The record is from RNAcentral.
UAAAAUGGGAGGUAAAUUUCUCCUAAGGCUAAAUAUUGGCGAGAGACCGAUAGCGAACAAGUACCGUGAGGGAAAGAUGAAAAGUACUUUGAAAAGAGAGUUAAACAGUACGUGAAAUUGUUGAAAGGGAAACGAUUGAAGCCAGUCUUACCUGCGGAUAAUCAGCUUUUUGAGUGUGAUUAUGUGGUCUAUGAGGAGUUUAACCGCCUUCAUGUAUUGCAUAUUUGUGCUCUUGGGUGUACUUGCCCGUGUGGUAGGUCAACAUCAAUUUCGGACGUCAUAAAAUGAUUGGAGGAAUGUAGCUUUGAUCUCGUAUCGAAGUGUUAUAGCCUCUGGUAGAUGUGACGAUUGGGAUUGAGGAUUGCAACGGAUACCCCUCGGGGCUACCCGUCUGAUCUCUGAAGGUUGCUCCGGUGCCGAAAGCGUGCUUACGGUCAUCGAAAGUGAUUUUCAAAAGGUUAGAGCGGGUUAAA